CCCUCCUCCUCUUCCUCGCAGAAGAGCCGGCUGGCGCUGAAGGCUCGGGAGAACGUGCUGCUGCUGGCGGGGCUGCCCCAGGAGGCGGCUGCCACCUGCCUGGCGCGGGACAGUGCCCUGUGCCAGCUGCUGACGGGCCACCUCUGUGACCUGUACAGCGCCGUGCCCGCCGGCACCGACCCCGCCGACGUCCUCGCCAUGGACAGGGCCAGCUGGAGGGCGCAGGGGGACGGUGCCAGGGACGGUGCCAGGGACGGUUCCAGGGACGGUUCCAGGGACGGUUCCAGGGACGGCGCCAGGGACGGUUCCAGGGACGGGGCUUUCCCAGGGAAGGAGAGCCUGGCGGAGUUCCUGGGCUGGCUGGAUUUCCUGGAUGAGCUGGUGAUGGGCGCCCACCCGCUCGUGGCCGACGCCAUCACCGAGGCCGUGGAGGAGAAGUUUUUCCAGGGAAUGCUGCAGCCGCAGCUCCUGCAGAUGUGAGUGACCCCAGCUGGGGUGUCCUGCCCCUCAGGACCCCCUCGGAGCCGGGAGCAGGUUUUGGGGGGGGGGGUGGGGAGGGGUUCCCCUUUUUCCCUGGACAACCCCCCCGCCCCCUUUUCCACCCCGGCAGGUCGGAGCUGGCCGUGCUGGGCGCCACGGCCGUGCUGACGGGGACGGUGCGGCAGCUCCGCGCGCCCGCCCUGCUCCACCGCCUCGUCCUCUUCCUGCUGGGGCCCCAGCGGCACCCCGAGACCCCCGGGGACGCCCCCCACCCGCUGCGGGCGCAGCUCAUCGACCGCUGCGACCACCUGUGCGACGAGGUGAGCUCACCUGGGCGGGCAGGGCCGGGCGCGGGGUGGGGGUCUCACCCUGCCGGCUGUGAAAAACGCUUGGUUUUAUUAAAAGUUUACAAGUUUAAUAAUAAUAAUAGAAUGGUUAUCAAAAUAAUAAUGCAAUUAGUAGUGAAUUUAUAAAUUUAUAUCAAUGAAUAUAUGAAUUACUAAAUAAAUUUAGUAAUCAAGGUUAGAGUGAGGACA
This 1016-nucleotide long non-coding RNA is filed under the name Chloebia gouldiae (Gouldian finch). Its description in RNAcentral is "Erythrura gouldiae (Gouldian finch) lncRNA (ENSEGOG00005018058.1)". The record is from RNAcentral. Lineage: Eukaryota; Metazoa; Chordata; Aves; Passeriformes; Passeridae.